GCAUGUGUUUCCUAGUGGACAUGGCGUCUGCCCGGUAAGCGGAACACUGUGGGUUCGAUUCCCAUCCCUGGACA
Molecule: transfer RNA, 74 nt
Filed under: Cordylochernes scorpioides
Lineage: Eukaryota; Metazoa; Arthropoda; Arachnida; Pseudoscorpiones; Chernetidae
Description: tRNA-Thr
Source: RNAcentral